RNAcentral lists this unclassified non-coding RNA (159 nucleotides) under uncultured Pseudeurotiaceae. RNAcentral describes it as "sequence contains ITS1". Lineage: Eukaryota; Fungi; Ascomycota; Leotiomycetes; Thelebolales; Pseudeurotiaceae. The record is from RNAcentral.
AAGAGUUAGGGUCUUCGGGGUAGAUCUCCCACCCUCUGUUUACAUACUUUGUUGCUUUGGCAGGCCCGUCUUCGGACCGCCGGCUUCGGCUGGCCCGUGCUUGCCAGAGGAUUCAAAACUCUGAUAAUUAUGUCGUCUGAGUACUAUUAUAAAUAGUUA